GUGGGGAAUUUUGGACAAUGGGCGCAAGCCUGAUCCAGCCAUGCCGCGUGCAGGAUGAAGGCCUUCGGGUUGUAAACUGCUUUUGUACGGAACGAAAAGACUUCUUCUAAUACAGGAGGUCCAUGACGGUACCGUAAGAAUAAGCACCGGCUAACUACGUGCCAGCAGCCGCGGUAAUACGUAGGGUGCAAGCGUUAAUCGGAAUUACUGGGCGUAAAGCGUGCGCAGGCGGUUAUAUAAGACAGAUGUGAAAUCCCCGGGCUCAACCUGGGAACUGCAUUUGUGACUGUAUAGCUAGAGUACGGUAGAGGGGGAUGGAAUUCCGCGUGUAGCAGUGAAAUGCGUAGAUAUGCGGAGGAACACCGAUGGCGAAGGCAAUCCCCUGGACCUGUACUGACGCUCAUGCACGAAAGCGUGGGGAGCAAACAGGAUUAGAUACCCCGGUAGUCC
This 450-nucleotide ribosomal RNA is filed under the name uncultured bacterium. Its description in RNAcentral is "partial 16S ribosomal RNA". It matches the Rfam family "Bacterial small subunit ribosomal RNA", at positions 354 to 796 of the family's 1533-position model. The record is from RNAcentral.